RNAcentral lists this long non-coding RNA (1310 nucleotides) under Lathyrus oleraceus (garden pea). RNAcentral's name for it is "Pisum sativum (pea) long non-coding RNA (PSAT_LNC015618)". Lineage: Eukaryota; Viridiplantae; Streptophyta; Magnoliopsida; Fabales; Fabaceae. The record is from RNAcentral.
AGAAAAGAAGAAAACAAUAAGGACAUAAUCAAAUUGGUUAUAAACUGUUAUUCUUUGCUUUCUCUUUGAAACAAAAAUACAAGUGUUAUAGAAUAUUAAAUAACCUCUUUCACCCUAAUUAGGAUUUGCGUUAUGUAAUGAUGAGAGACUAGUAUGCUAUUUAUAAGAAAACUAACAUACUAAACUAAUGGGCUUUUACACACAUAUCCAUUACACAAGCUAACGUAAAGAACAAUCCAACUUAAACAAUUGGGCAUAACAAACAAACUCAAUUUGACAUGCUAACAAUCCUAGCAUACUUCGAUUACAGCAUGUGAACAGACUUCUACAACAUGCUAAUGAUCAUGUAGGAUUGUCGAACCAAAUACUAGAGUUAGAUCCAAUGUCUCACAAAUCUCCCCCUUGGAACAAACUCUAUAACAUUUGGGAAACAAACUGGCUUUAUUUUUUCUAUGUCCUUAACGCAGUCUCCAUGACUUUGGCUCCCCUCAACGCUUCUAAACAACCCUACUGAACUAGUAGGGCUUUCAUCUUCAAGCGCCACAGACCGAAAUCGUUCACUCCGGUGAACUUUUCAAUCUCAUACUUUGUUGAAGGCAUCUUCUUCAUCCUCACCACACCAAUUUGUUGUGAAAACGAUGUUAGAAUUACAAAUUAUAAUUGGUUUCUUGAUCAGUAAGAAAUCCACAAGGAUAGAAAAAAUGAAAAUAAGAAGAACACAAUGAAAUUGGUUAUAAACUGCUAUUAUUUAUUUUCUCUUUGAAAUUAGAUUACAAGUGUUACAAAAUAGCAAAUAAUCUCUCUCAUCCUAAUUAGCAUUUACGUUAUUCAAUGAUGAGAGACUAUUAUGCAAUUUAUAAAAAAACUAACAUACUAAACUAAUGGCCUUUUACACAUAAGAUCAUUAUACAAGCUAACUUAGAGAACACGCUAACUUAAACAAUUGGGUAUAACAAACAGGUCCAAUUUGACAUGUUAACAAUUCUAGCAUACGUCGACUACAACAUGUGAACAUACUUCGACGACAUACUAAGGUUUUGUCGAACUGUCGAACCAAGAAGUUACCCUUCGACAAUACUAAAAUUCGAUCCAAUAUCUCACAAAUCUCCACCUUAGAACAAACUCUAUAAAAUCCCGGGAACUAACUAGCUUUCUUUUUCCUAUGUUCGUUAACGCAACGUCCAUAGAUUUGACUCCUUUCAACGCUUCUAAAAAAUCCUACUGAACUAAUAGGGCUUUCAUCUUCAAGCACCACAUACCAAAAUUGUUCACUCUGGUGAAUUUUUUAAUCUCAUACUUUUAUAUAUAUA